This 2292-nucleotide ribosomal RNA is filed under the name Klebsiella michiganensis. RNAcentral describes it as "bacterial LSU rRNA". It matches the Rfam family "Bacterial large subunit ribosomal RNA", at positions 660 to 2925 of the family's 2925-position model. The record is from RNAcentral. Lineage: Bacteria; Pseudomonadati; Pseudomonadota; Gammaproteobacteria; Enterobacterales; Enterobacteriaceae.
GGGGAGCCGCAGGGAAACCGAGUCUUAACUGGGCGUUAAGUUGCAGGGUAUAGACCCGAAACCCGGUGAUCUAGCCAUGGGCAGGUUGAAGGUUGGGUAACACUAACUGGAGGACCGAACCGACUAAUGUUGAAAAAUUAGCGGAUGACUUGUGGCUGGGGGGGAAAGGCCAAUCAAACCGGGAGAUAGCUGGUUCUCCCCGAAAGCUAUUUAGGUAGCGCCUCGUGAACUCAUCUUCGGGGGUAGAGCACUGUUUCGGCUAGGGGGUCAUCCCGACUUACCAACCCGAUGCAAACUACGAAUACCGAAGAAUGUUAUCACGGGAGACACACGGCGGGUGCUAACGUCCGUCGUGAAGAGGGAAACAACCCAGACCGCCAGCUAAGGUCCCAAAGUCAUGGUUAAGUGGGAAACGAUGUGGGAAGGCCCAGACAGCCAGGAUGUUGGCUUAGAAGCAGCCAUCAUUUAAAGAAAGCGUAAUAGCUCACUGGUCGAGUCGGCCUGCGCGGAAGAUGUAACGGGGCUAAACCAUGCACCGAAGCUGCGGCAGCGACGCUUAUGCGUUGUUGGGUAGGGGAGCGUUCUGUAAGCCGUUGAAGGUGGCCUGUGAGGGUUGCUGGAGGUAUCAGAAGUGCGAAUGCUGACAUAAGUAACGAUAAUGCGGGUGAAAAACCCGCACGCCGGAAGACCAAGGGUUCCUGUCCAACGUUAAUCGGGGCAGGGUGAGUCGACCCCUAAGGCGAGGCCGAAAGGCGUAGUCGAUGGGAAACAGGUUAAUAUUCCUGUACUCGGUGUUACUGCGAAGGGGGGACGGAGAAGGCUAUGUUGGCCGGGCGACGGUUGUCCCGGUUUAAGCAUGUAGGCGGAUGUUCCAGGUAAAUCCGGAACGUCACUAACGCUGAGGUGUGAUGACGAGGCACUACGGUGCUGAAGUGACAAAUGCCCUGCUUCCAGGAAAAGCCUCUAAGCAUCAGGUAACAUCAAAUCGUACCCCAAACCGACACAGGUGGUCAGGUAGAGAAUACCAAGGCGCUUGAGAGAACUCGGGUGAAGGAACUAGGCAAAAUGGUGCCGUAACUUCGGGAGAAGGCACGCUGAUGGUAAGUGAAGUGACUUGCUCAUGGAGCUGAAAUCAGUCGAAGAUACCAGCUGGCUGCAACUGUUUAUUAAAAACACAGCACUGUGCAAACACGAAAGUGGACGUAUACGGUGUGACGCCUGCCCGGUGCCGGAAGGUUAAUUGAUGGGGUUAUCCGUAAGGAGAAGCUCUUGAUCGAAGCCCCGGUAAACGGCGGCCGUAACUAUAACGGUCCUAAGGUAGCGAAAUUCCUUGUCGGGUAAGUUCCGACCUGCACGAAUGGCGUAAUGAUGGCCAGGCUGUCUCCACCCGAGACUCAGUGAAAUUGAACUCGCUGUGAAGAUGCAGUGUACCCGCGGCAAGACGGAAAGACCCCGUGAACCUUUACUAUAGCUUGACACUGAACACUGGUCCUUGAUGUGUAGGAUAGGUGGGAGGCUUUGAAGUGUGGACGCCAGUCUGCAUGGAGCCAUCCUUGAAAUACCACCCUUUAAUGGCUGGGGUUCUAACGUGGGCCCCUAAUCCGGGUUGCGGACAGUGUCUGGUGGGUAGUUUGACUGGGGCGGUCUCCUCCUAAAGAGUAACGGAGGAGCACGAAGGUCAGCUAAUCCUGGUCGGACAUCAGGAGGUUAGUGCAAUGGCAUAAGCUGGCUUGACUGCGAGCGUGACGGCGCGAGCAGGUGCGAAAGCAGGUCAUAGUGAUCCGGUGGUUCUGAAUGGAAGGACCAUCGCUCAACGGAUAAAAGGUACUCCGGGGAUAACAGGCUGAUACCGCCCAAGAGUUCAUAUCGACGGCGGUGUUUGGCACCUCGAUGUCGGCUCAUCACAUCCUGGGGCUGAAGUAGGUCCCAAGGGUAUGGCUGUUCGCCAUUUAAAGUGGUACGCGAGCUGGGUUUAGAACGUCGUGAGACAGUUCGGUCCCUAUCUGCCGUGGGCGCUGGAGAAUUGAGGGGGGCUGCUCCUAGUACGAGAGGACCGGAGUGGACGCAUCACUGGUGUUCGGGUUGUCAUGCCAAUGGCAUUGCCCGGUAGCUAAAUGCGGAAGAGAUAAGUGCUGAAAGCAUCUAAGCACGAAACUUGCCCCGAGAUGAGUUCUCCCUGACUCCCUGAGAGUCCUGAAGGAACGUUGAAGACGACGACGUUGAUAGGCCGGGUGUGUAAGCGCAGCGAUGCGUUGAGCUAACCGGUACUAAUGAACCGUGAGGCUUAACCUU